AUUGAACGCUGGCGGCAUGCCCAACACAUGCAAGUCGAACGGCAGCACGGCCCAGUUUACUGGAUGGGUGGCGAGUGGCGGACGGGUGAGUAACGCGUAGGAAUAUGCCUUAAAGAGGGGGAUAACUUGGGGAAACUCAAGCUAAUACCGCAUAAACUCUGAGGAGAAAAGCUGGGGACCUUUGGGCCUGGCGCUUUAAGAUUCGCCUGCGUACGGUUAGCUAGUGGGUGGGGUAAGGGCCUACCAAGGCGACGAUCGUUAGCUGGUCUGAGAGGAUGGCCAGCCACACUGGAACUGAGACACGGUCCAGACUCCUACGGGAGGCAGCAGUGGGGAAUAUUGGACAAUGGGGGGAACCCUGAUCCAGCAAUGCCGCGUGUGUGAAGAAGGCCUGAGGGUUGUAAAGCACUUUCAGUGGGGAGGAGGAUUGACAGGUUAAGAGCUAGUUAAUUGGACGUUACCCACAGAAGAAGCACCGGCUAACUCCGUGCCAGCAGCCGCAGUAA
Molecule: ribosomal RNA, 506 nt
Filed under: uncultured bacterium
Lineage: Bacteria
Description: partial 16S ribosomal RNA
Rfam family: Bacterial small subunit ribosomal RNA
Source: RNAcentral